This 313-nucleotide ribosomal RNA is filed under the name Salmonella enterica subsp. enterica serovar Agona. RNAcentral's name for it is "bacterial SSU rRNA". It matches the Rfam family "Bacterial small subunit ribosomal RNA", at positions 1 to 312 of the family's 1533-position model. Lineage: Bacteria; Pseudomonadati; Pseudomonadota; Gammaproteobacteria; Enterobacterales; Enterobacteriaceae. The record is from RNAcentral.
AAAUUGAAGAGUUUGAUCAUGGCUCAGAUUGAACGCUGGCGGCAGGCCUAACACAUGCAAGUCGAACGGUAGCACAGAGAGCUUGCUCUCGGGUGACGAGUGGCGGACGGGUGAGUAAUGUCUGGGAAACUGCCUGAUGGAGGGGGAUAACUACUGGAAACGGUGGCUAAUACCGCAUAACGUCGCAAGACCAAAGAGGGGGACCUUCGGGCCUCUUGCCAUCAGAUGUGCCCAGAUGGGAUUAGCUGGUUGGUGAGGUAACGGCUCACCAAGGCGACGAUCCCUAGCUGGUCUGAGAGGAUGACCAGCCACA